AAAAGACGUACGACAUUGAAAAGUUUUUCUUGACAAAAUCAUUCAUAUGGACGUAUAACACCUCCAGAGGAGCUGCCAGGACCUGCCAAGUGGACAGAGUCACGCAUAUAAACGAUACUACAGUUACGUUCAAGCGCUACUUCUACAACGUUUUUCAUAGGAAGACAAUGAUUCCAUUGGAGGGAACAUUGUAUUUUGACAGAAAAGACCUAUUGAUUGUUCGUGCGCCAGGUUACAAGUAUAAGGAGGAACUUGUAUUUUAUGAUGCCCACUUUAAAUGCGCCGUGAUUAAAAUAACAACGCCUUAUAGAGGUGGGGUUGUGACGCAUGACUUGCGCGUUUGGAACGCUUACAUGAAGUUUGGCCCGGCGUCUGACU
Rhipicephalus microplus (southern cattle tick) is the source of this 378-nucleotide long non-coding RNA. Lineage: Eukaryota; Metazoa; Arthropoda; Arachnida; Ixodida; Ixodidae. The record is from RefSeq and is a predicted model, not a curated record.